CCUACGGGUGGCAGCAGUCGAGAAUCAUUCACAAUGGGGGAAACCCUGAUGGUGCGACGCCGCGUGGGGGAUGGAGGCCUUCGGGUUGUAAACCGCUUUUGUUCAAGGGCAAGGCACGGUCUUUGGCCGUGUUGAGUGGAUUGUUCGAAUAAGCACCGGCUAAAUACGUGCCAGCAGCCGCGGUAAUACGUAGGGUGCAAGAGUUAUCCGGAUUUAUUGGGCGUAAAGGGCUCGUAGGCGGUUCGUCGCGUCCGGUGUGAAAGUCCAUCGCUUAACGGUGGAUCCGCGCCGGGUACGGGCGGGCUUGAGUGCGGUAGGGGAGACUGGAAUUCCCGGUGUAACGGUGUAAUGUGUAGAUAUCGGGAAGAACACCAAUGGCGAAGGCAGGUCUCUGGGCCGUUACUGACGCUGAGGAGCGAAAGCGUGGGGAGCGAACAGGAUUAGAUACCCGAGUAGUC
RNAcentral lists this ribosomal RNA (458 nucleotides) under uncultured bacterium. RNAcentral describes it as "partial 16S ribosomal RNA". It matches the Rfam family "Bacterial small subunit ribosomal RNA", at positions 338 to 795 of the family's 1533-position model. The record is from RNAcentral.